Molecule: ribosomal RNA, 471 nt
Filed under: uncultured bacterium
Lineage: Bacteria
Description: bacterial SSU rRNA
Rfam family: Bacterial small subunit ribosomal RNA
Source: RNAcentral
GACGAACGCUGGCGGCGUGCCUAACACAUGCAAGUCGAACGGGACCGCAAGGUUCAGUGGCGGACGGGUGCGUAACACGUGAGGAACAUAGCCAACGGCGGGGGAUAGCCGGCCCAACGGCCGGGUAAUACCGCGUACGACCUUUGGGGGGCAUCCCCUGGGGGUGAAAGCAGCAAUGCGCCGAUGGGGUGCCUCGCGGCCUAUCAGCUAGUUGGUGAGGUAACGGCUCACCAAGGCUACGACGGGAGCUGGUCCGAGAGGAUGACCAGCCACAUUGGGACUGAGACACGGCCCAGACUCCUACGGGAGGCAGCAGUGGGGAAUAUUGCGCAAUGGGCGAAAGCCUGACGCAGCGACGCCGCGUGUGGGAUGAAGGUCUUCGGAUUGUAAACCACUGUCGGGAGGGGACGAAGCUCUGACGGUACCUCCAAAGGAAGCACCGGCUAACUCUGUGCCAGCCGCCGCAGUAAC